This 433-nucleotide ribosomal RNA is filed under the name uncultured bacterium. Its description in RNAcentral is "partial 16S ribosomal RNA". It matches the Rfam family "Bacterial small subunit ribosomal RNA", at positions 29 to 507 of the family's 1533-position model. The record is from RNAcentral.
AACGAACGCUGGCGGCAUGCCUAACACAUGCAAGUCGAACGAGACCUUCGGGUCUAGUGGCGCACGGGUGCGUAACGCGUGGGAACCUGCCCUUAGGUUCGGAAUAACUCCCCGAAAGGGGUGCUAAUACCGGAUAAUGUCUUCGGACCAAAGAUUUAUCGCCGUUGGAUGGGCCCGCGUUGGAUUAGCUGGUUGGUAGGGUAAAAGCCUACCAAGGCGACGAUGCAUAGCUGGUCUGAGAGGAUGAUCAGCCACACUGGGACUGAGACACGGCCCAGACUCCUACGGGAGGCAGCAGUAGGGAAUAUUGGACGAUGGGCGAAAGCCUGAUACAGCAAUGCCGGGUGAGUGAUGAAGGCCUUAGGGUUGUAAAGCUCUUUUACCCGGGAUGAUAAUGACAGUACCGGGAGAAUAAGCUCCGGCUAACUCCGUG